UCGGUGCCGUAGUGUCGAUUCGGCGCAAACACAACAGAAGUGAAUUAUUAGCUUCAUUUAUUUCGAGAAAAACCUGACGGGCUGCAAUACGCUAGCUUACCUGGGUAGAGGAGUCCAUCAUGAGUAGCGUUCCUGCACCUGCAUCGCUCCCUGGAGGUUUAGUUCGGACAGCUUCACGCAGCUGUGCAAGCUCGCGAGAGCAAACAUCAGCUUCUGUGGACGGCAUCCUCGAUGGUUCCAAUUUCCAGCCCAUUCCCCAAUUUUCAACCCCAAUGACAGACAACACACGCUCGAAUGGGUGCUUUGCUAAAGAAGGGAAUUGUUUCACUUCCUGUGCUACCCAAAGAAUGGGCUGAGGACGCUGAUGCAGAACCGUGGAGGACGGAGCGAGGGAGUGCAAGAGAGAGAAGAGAUAGCAGGGAAAAGACAAAACAAAACACAUGAAGCCGAGACAGCAGGAAAAUAAACAGAAGAGAGGAGGGGGAAGAGAAAGAAAAGGAAUGGGGUGGAGGGGAAAUCUCCGGCCAGAUCUUAGGUGCACAUACGUCCUUUAUCCACCUAAUAUAGGACAUGACAUGUGGUUUCCAAAGGAAAUGAAAGGAUUUUGGACCUGAUUUCUAGAGCUGUUCUCAGGUAAAGGCUGCAACUGCAGAGCAACAGACUUGAACUCAAGGCACAAAUGCAAUAACGCAUAACUCAAUCACUGCAGCGAUGUUAUCGAAAGACACAAUUUGGCUUCGCUGUUUUCCCCUAAAUGGAAUCAAACCACAAGACUGAACAACUGAAUGACAAUUGGCUGAGACCCACCUGAAUUUGCAUAAAGUGUCCUUAUUCUUUUUGUUUUUUUUAUUUUGUUUAGCAUGCAGAAGUAACUCAAUAAGCUAUGCUACUUCCUGGGAAAUUCACCAUACCUAUUAACCCAUAUACCGCUUUUGGCCAGGCCAGCUGUUUACACCAUAUUACAACAACAUGCCUGAAAUGUCAGUCAUUGCAGGACUUGAGCCUUUUUUCUUGUUUUUGUUGCGUGAAUGCUCGCUCGCUUCCACCUCAGCAGGUCGGCAAAAACAUGAGAUUUUGGUGGGAAGCUAGACUCCGUGCCACCACAGAGAUUUCCAGUGACAAUCGCUAACAAGCCCCACUGCCAAAUUGGUUCCCUUUGGCUUGAUUCCACUCCUUAAUUCUCUCCUCCCUUACCCCCGAUUGCUCCUCCAGAGGGGUCUAGGCUCAUAGUUUCCCAUCUGUAAUAGUUUUUGUGGCAUAUUACUCUCCCCAAUCUACUCCUAUAAUUCGCUUUUGAUGGCACAGUUUAGUUGUAGUUAGAGGAGCUGUGCACUCUGGAGACAGCAUUGGCAGUGGGAAAUUAAUUGAUAAAUCCUGUUGUGAUCUGAUCAGCAGCGCCACCGUAAUGCACGUCCUCUAUUUAUCUUUUUUUUACGUUGAAAUGGUGGAAAAUUUUUAAGGCAGGCACAUUUAAUUGCUUAAAUAUAGCAUCAGUUGCAGAUUGCUACAAAGUUUAUUUGUAAGGUAGACAAUAUAUCUUACAGAUUAGACAGAGGUAAUUGCCAUUUCAACAGUGUCAGUGAUGACACUGCAGAUAAAUUCAAAUAAAAAACAAACAUGCCGGGAGUGAUAAGAACAAAUUUCUUUUUCUGGUAAAAUUCGAGAUAUCUGUUUUAUAUUACACCACAGAUGACAUGACAUUUAUUACCAUUUCCAGCACAGUUGAAAAGAUCUCAAGGGGCCCGGUACUGUAGCGGUUACAAGUGGAAUAAACUGCUUAGAAGAUGUUCAAGGGAUGAUGCACAUAACUGGCAAUAUGAAUGUGAAUUCCCUGAGAAGCUUAUUUUUGCACACACAUACACACACGCACAGAGUGAACAACAUGAGAAAUGGGCGAAGAGCCAUAGUAUUCAGUGCAAACUGGAGGGCCCAAGUCGCUAAACUAAUCCUAGUACCAUAGGAUCCCACUUUCAGCCCUGUCUUUUGCUGCAGCUGCCUGGGAUCAUUUCACAAACACGAGGUAUUCCUGGAAGAAUUGAUUCUGUUAGAUAGUACAUUGAUCACACACAUCGCCUGCGGACAGAAGAUGGCUUUACAAGCAAUAAUACGGGAGACAAUUAUAUUAUUUUAGUGAAAUAAGACAGAGUACAAGCAGCGAGUGCCAAUAGCCCAGGCAGGGGGAGGGAGGCACAGGCGGGCCCCCUCUGCGCCUGCCUCGGUGUGUUUGUGCUCCAUCCUCAAGUGGCACGGUAAUCCACUAAACUUUCCUCCACCCGCUUCCCUCAAUGCAAUCAGGAUGCGAAGGCUCACCAGUGAUUGCGUUCAUUUGUAAAAGCAUCCAAGCCAAAAUUGAACCCCAAGGCUGAUAAACUAUAAAGAUGCUGAUCAGAUCGCAGCUAAGGAGUCCACACUUGAGGGCACGAGGUGUCAGGGCUGGAGCCAAAAGAGCAAUGACUCUGUAUACCUCACUCAGAGCGAAGCGACUGCCCCGGAAUACAAACAAGAGGGGAGAAAACACAUAAAGACGACAACAAACUGCGAUAGGAUUUUUCAUCCUGCAGCAUCUCCCGGAAGAGGAGGAUUUUUAGAUGUUGUUUUUUUUCACCCCCCCUCCCUUCUUCUUCUUUAUGGACUCAGUUGGUAAAUGCAUUUAUUGCUCAGGCUUAAGCAAAUGUACUUUAUUGAUGAAGUCUGUGUGAAUUUCAUAAUGCAUCUCAUGAAAAGCAGAAGCCCAAAAGAGAUCUUGCAAAGGGAGCUCAUAUGUUUUCAGCCCUGCAAUAGUAAGUUGGAAUGAGAGCAAUACAUAACUAUUCAAGUCCGGCCUAUUUUGUCUUCCGCCGCUUUGCCCUGUUGUCACCGCACGCACUUGAAGAGUUACUGAAACUUUUCGUCUGUUAGUUAUUUCUCACAGCUAUUGCCCUGUGUCUUUACUUUAAACACACAUCUUCCCCCGCUAAAGCACAAAGACUGAGGACAGACAGCGGAGGGGAAAAAAACCAAAAAAGAAAGAAAGGCAGGAUUUGAGGAUCUCCAUCCUCGUGGCCCCAGUGCGUUAAAUGUCAAAGAGCAGUCAGCGGGAGAGACUGAUUCCAGGAGGCGAUGUGAAUGGGACGAUUGAAGACCUGCCUUGAUUGACAGCUCUUCCUCUCUCGCUCUGCCCCGAGGGUGAUUGACAAUGUGGUUCAUCUCACAUUUUGUGACUGAGCUAAUCCAGUAAAUUCCUACCAGACGCAGCACAACUCAGCAGAGACCUGCCGCUCCUUUCCCAGGUGGAGCUUUCAUUUUAUCUCUCGCUC
Oreochromis niloticus (Nile tilapia) is the source of this 3296-nucleotide long non-coding RNA. RefSeq lists it as uncharacterized. The transcript has 4 exons. NCBI's taxonomy places the organism in Eukaryota, Metazoa, Chordata, Actinopteri, Cichliformes, Cichlidae. The record is from RefSeq and is a predicted model, not a curated record.